RNAcentral lists this ribosomal RNA (500 nucleotides) under uncultured bacterium. Its description in RNAcentral is "partial 16S ribosomal RNA". It matches the Rfam family "Bacterial small subunit ribosomal RNA", at positions 29 to 523 of the family's 1533-position model. The record is from RNAcentral.
AUUGAACGCUGGCGGCAUGCCUUACACAUGCAAGUCGAACGGCAGCACGGGGGCAACCCUGGUGGCGAGUGGCGAACGGGUGAGUAAUACAUCGGAACGUGUCCUGUCGUGGGGGAUAACCAGUCGAAAGACUGGCUAAUACCGCAUGAGAUCGAGAGAUGAAAGCAGGGGACCGCAAGGCCUUGCGCGAUUGGAGCGGCCUAUGUCGGAUUAGCUAGUUGGCGGGGUAAAAGCCCACCAAGGCGACGAUCCGUAGCUGGUUUGAGAGGACGACCAGCCACACUGGGACUGAGACACGGCCCAGACUCCUACGGGAGGCAGCAGUGGGGAAUUUUGGACAAUGGGGGCAACCCUGAUCCAGCCAUGCCGCGUGUGUGAAGAAGGCCUUCGGGUUGUAAAGCACUUUCGGACGGAACGAGAUCGCACGGGUGAAUAUCCCGGGUGGAUGACGGUACUGUAAGAAGAAGCACCGGCUAACUACGUGCCAGCAGCCGCAGUAA